Molecule: long non-coding RNA, 1717 nt
Organism: Cygnus olor (mute swan)
Lineage: Eukaryota; Metazoa; Chordata; Aves; Anseriformes; Anatidae
Exons: 3
Source: RefSeq, a predicted model, not a curated record
CUGAAGAGAAUUCAGAGCUGCCUGUCUGAAUGGCUGCUGCAUCCUUUGGGGUACUCAGCCACUUGAUUGAAAGAGCCAGAGGAGGACCAGGCAUGGGGAAGACCUUCCUGUGCAGACAAGAUGUGGCACAAUAGCACUUGCUUACUGUGCUGUAACUGGAGGGGAGGAACAGCACAGUGUCCUGCUGAGGUAGUCCAGAAGAUCUCACAAGACCUUCACAUAUGUGCACUGGCAUAAAGCUGGCAUAAGCGAGCAGAAAUCCAGGCAGUGUUUUGUGCCGGGAACCCUGGGCUCUGCGUUUCCUCUCCUCCUGGCCGCAGGAGCAGAGAACAGGGACAGCGAGGAGCUGAGGACCAGCAUGGGGGCUGUGGGGGGAGCCCUGGUGGAGCCUCAGAAUCCCAGACAGCCACGGCUGCAUGGUGCCACCGCUCCAGCCAUGCACUGGGGACAGGUGGGCACUGAAGUGAGAGGCUUCUGAUUUAGUCAGCGUGCAACCUAGCACUUGCACCCAAGGAAAGUAAAAGAUGUCUCAGCGGUAUGCAGGAGUCAGUAAGGUCAGUUAGACCGCUGAUCCCCGUUCCCCCUGGCUGAGUCCUGCACCACCACCUCAGCUCCUCCCUGCCAUUGCAGGACAAGACUUUAUGCUGUGGGCCUGGUAUUACUUCUUGGCAAUCACAGACAAGAAAAUCUCCUUUUAAUUUAAGAUCUUACUUGAAAAAGUGUACCAUAGUUUUGCUGGCUCAUACAAUACCAAGGCCACAGCAAAUCCUGGGAGAGACAGCAGGCUGAUGUAAAGAAGUGUUUGGAGAUUCUCACUCGGUCCCCAAAGUGCAGCACUUUUCUGUGUCUUCCCUGAUGGACCACAGCAACUGGGAUCUGGAUUUGUGAGGAAAACAUUGCAUGUUUGACCCAAAGUUUCAUGACUGGCUUCUCCCAGCUGCUUGCUUGGGUCCUGCAUCAUAAGACAGAUGCUAGUUGUUAAGGAGAGAAAAUCAUGGUACUCAGAGAAAGCAUAUGAAUCAUGAAAGCCAGUCUUUGGAUCUGGUAUUUAUGUCCCCAGUGGGAGUUAUUUCCCUCAGAUCUUUGCAGGUGGGUCACAGUAACAAGGUGAAUUUGCUCUGAUGGCACAAGAGGAGCACUUUCUGUCACCUCUUCUGCAUUUGGAUGGCCUUUCUUCACCACAGAAAAGAAGCAUGCUAGGGAAGUUACAAGGCCAGGGGGAUUAAACAUGUAGAGAUUCACUGCUGGUGGCAGCCCUGCAACAAACACAGUGACAAAGUGCACAGUCUACCCAAGUAAUUGCACAGAGUUCCCAAAGAUCUGUAAUUAAUAAAGAUGAUCAGUCAACAUGGAUCCUUUAUAUUUGUCUUUCUUUCCAUAUGCCCGUAAGAAUGACAUAAUGAACCAUUAAAUAAUAUCCGUAUCCCAGGGCAGAUUUGCUAUUGGGUCAAAUUAUCAGAGCUCCACUGUAAAUAUUGGUUCUGUGUCAGUAGAAGCAUCUUACACUAUCUUACAGGCUCACAUUUCUCAUGCCUGUCUAAGAGCGGGCUCUAUUUUAGUGAUGGAUGAGGAAAUUGUGAGGGUAAACAACUCUUUGAUCUAGCAGAAAAAAAAAAAAAAAAAGAAAAAAAAAAGAUAUUAAAAAGAUCUUGCUGAAGUGAGGCUAAUUCAAAAUUGAAAUGAACAUUUUUAGCCAUUAAAAUACCUUAUCUUGGAG